RNAcentral lists this unclassified non-coding RNA (282 nucleotides) under Nosema bombycis. Its description in RNAcentral is "intergenic spacer". The record is from RNAcentral. Lineage: Eukaryota; Fungi; Microsporidia; Nosematidae.
GCAGGAUCAUAAAUAAAAAAAGAUGGGAUUAUUAUAAUGAAAGUGUAUGCUGACAUUAUAAUAAUCUUGUCUAUGUUCUAAAUACAAAAUACCUUCACGAGGUUUAGAAUGAGUGAUAUAAGGAAGUUAUAUUAGCUAAAUUUAUGUAUGUUAUGAAUGGGUUGAUUGAUUAUAAAGGCGUGUGUGUAGUUAGGUGUAGAGAAUAAUUGAAAUAUAUUUAAGUAAGUAGAAUAGCUUGUAAUAUCAAGGAGUUUUACUUGUAACAACACACUUAUUUAUCCA